UAACGAGAAUCCUCAUCCGAGCUAGAGGGAUUUCUGGAGCUUUCCAGAACACCAAGGUCUACUCCAAAUGCCACAAUCCUAUCUAUCACAAAAUGGUCGCUCCAGAAAUGACCAAUCUUCUCUUUAAAUAUCACCAAUUCCAUUUUCUAUUUCAACUAUUAUCUCGAGGCCCUGUGUAAAAUCUUUCGUUGGUCACGAGAUCACAUCAAACAUGUCCCAAGCUCUGUCGAAUUUGAGCCUUUCUCUUCCUUUAUCUUCAAGAAGCAGCUCUUCUGGAUCAAGAAACUUCUACUUCUUCAAAACAAAUGGGGCAGGCUUUAAUUCUUCCCUUAAGGCCAUGGCAGCUGAUAACAGAGACAAUCUUGUCCACCUGCAGAGGGCCAGCAAGCAACAGCAACAGACUCAGCGCAAGAAAAGAGUGGCUUCUGUUGCACCAGUAGGGUUGUGGGACAGAUUCCCAACAGCCAGAACAGUGCAGCAGAUGAUGGAGUCGAUGGAGAGGAUGAUGGAGGACCCAUUUGCAUACUCCGGCGGGUGGCAAUCACCACCACCACAGCCGCCUACGACUGGAAGUGGGUAUGGCAGAGGAAGGACACCAUGGGAGAUAAAAGAGGGAGAAAGCGAGUACAAGAUGAGGUUUGACAUGCCUGGAAUGACCAAGGAAGAUGUGAAGGUGUGGAUUGAGGAGAAGAUACUGGUUGUGAAGGCAGAGAAAGUGCCUAAGAAGAAAGUGAAUGGUGAAAAUAAUGGAGAAGAGGAGGAGGAGGAGGAGUGGUCUGCCAAAAGCUAUGGAAAGUAUGGCAGUAGAAUAGCAUUGCCUGAGAACAUCGCGUUUGAGAAGAUCAAGGCUGAGGUUAAAGAUGGGGUCUUGUAUAUAACCAUCCCUAAAGCCAGUACCACUGGCAAAAUUCUUGAUAUUGAUGUUAAGUGAUCACUUCUGUAUCUACAUGCAAAUGGCUUUUAGGUUAUAUGUAAAGAUUUCAAUGGUUUUUGUUGGUUAACUUGGAAGAAAGUUUUGCCCUUUUUGGGUGUAAAGCGAACCAGUUAUUUAGUUCAAAAAAAUUGUCUUUUCUUUCCCUUUUCUCCUUAUAUGUUCAGAUAAGAGAUGAACCCAAUUCUUCCCAAUCCAUUGGCAACGUGAAUGAUUUUGCUUGUAAUCAUCAGUCACGCAUUUACAGAAUUUAAUUUAUUUAACUGUUGUGAAGCUUUAGGAAGAGCUAUAAGGUAUACAAGACAUUAAGCUCUUUCCAAGCUUUAUGGGGCGGAAGAAAUUUC
This 1275-nucleotide unclassified non-coding RNA is filed under the name Hevea brasiliensis (rubber tree). The record is from RNAcentral. Lineage: Eukaryota; Viridiplantae; Streptophyta; Magnoliopsida; Malpighiales; Euphorbiaceae.